GAAAAUAAUUUUUACAAUAGUAUCGGAUCAUAAUUUCAAGAACAGAUCUCUUAGGUGAUGUAUAUUAUGUUUAAAUAUAAUAGGAUUUUAGUAAUUAAGUUUUAUAUCGUUCCAAAGUACAAAACUGUUGUAUCUCAUGUGAGCUACAAUGAGAAACGUGGAUUCUUAACAAAGCAGAGGAAGAAAAGUUAGAUAUAUGGAAAAGAAAAAUACUUAGGAUACUAGGCGGUAAAAAGGACAGAGAGGUAUGGCUUAGGAGAACAAAUAAUGAAAUUAGGAAUCUGUUUGGAGAAGCAGAACUAAGCAAAAUAAUAAGAUCUAAAAGAAUAGAGUGGCUGGGUCUCAUAGAGAGAAUCCCAGAUUCUGGAGCAACGAAAAAAUAAUGGACAGGAAAAGAUGGUACAGAGAGGAGAGAAAUUCGAACUGGAAAACGAAAUCAAAAUAUAGAAAAGAGUGGAAGAUAAACGUGCCUCGACAGCACUGGACACAAAAACAAUCGUAUGAUACAUGAGUUGAAUAAAGGACUGUUACAGAAUCUAUUACAAUACAUAAAUUAUAUUAAUUAUAUUUACUGAAACAGCUUCGUAACUUUUAAGAAACUUUCUUGAUUUCUGUCGGGCAAUUGAGUGUCUCCUUGAGGUUAGUUUUCAGAUCAAACUGAUAGUAUACAAUACAGUAUUGUCUGCAGUCAGUGAGGAUGUUCUUAAGAGACAUAGGAACGCGACUUCGGCACAUAGGAUGACUUUCUGACGGCAUCAAAUAGCCGUGAGUAAAUUUUGUGUGGUUCUCUCCAGCUCAAAAGGUUUAGGGGCAGAGAAGUAGAAGGGUGGAUAUUAUGUAAUGCUCCAUAUAUCGCGCCAAGAUUCUUGAAUGAGGUUACUUUAAUUCAUUUCUCAAGAAAUUGAAGAUUUUGUCAUUUGAAAUCUUUUGUGUGUCCAAAAAAAUUGUACAAAUGACAAGCUUAUAAAAAGAAUGAUUGUAUUCUUGGGGUUUACGCGUCAAGCGAAUCGCAUUUUUGCCCCUGUGACGCGAGCGCCAUCUAGCGGUUAGAUACAACAAGGCGUCCAUAUUGUUACGUUUUUCGUAAACAAACUAGGGUGAUCAUAGCAUCAUAUUCAACAUUACUCCAAAUUUCGUUCUUCAGUCUUUCCAAAAGACUAGAUUGAUGGCAAGAAGUGUGAAGGAUACUACCAAGGACUAAUUACCCAUAUUGCUUUUUUUACAUAUACUCUUCACGGAUCACCAAUCCGCAUUCCCGAUGGAAACGUUCAACGUGAAUAUUUUGGGUUUUUCGCCACAGGAAAUAAUGAGACUGAGCAAGACUCCGUAAAAGACUGGAAAUAUCGAAAUGUCAAAGAUGAUCUGAGACCCUGAAUUUAUUAUAGAUGGCGCUCGCCUCGCCCUACCGGGGCCUUGUACACCCCAAUGAUAACUUCAGUAUUAUAUUAAUAAUUUAUAUUCAGUACUUCAACUUCCAUAACCAUUUCAAAUUUAAUCUUAUUAAUAUAGAAUUUACUCAGGCCGGUCCUGUUUGAUAUUUAUAUUUUUUGGAAAUGUGCCAAUCAACAGUAAUUUAUAAAGGAUAUUACAAGCUCGGCUGUGUACUGUGUAAACAUUUGUUUUGCUCAAUAUCUAAAAAUAAUUUUCAUGUGUUUGUAAACAAUACAUGGAAAAUUGUCACAUAGGAUUAUUGCCUUAUGUAGCAAGGAAAAACUACCCACUUUUUCCUAGAUUUUCAAUACAAAUUUGUAUAACAUUUUUCAAUUAAACUAAUAAUAAUUAAGAUAUGGAAUAAUUUUGUACCAAUUAUAUUACCAUAUAUUAUAUAUGGAAAGGGAUAUGUCCCUUGUGUUCCCUCAGUGAUUUAUAACCUUGAAACUUGAUAAUACACAGUUUACUACUAUUUUUGUUCUGGUCCUUCGAGCCUCCCAUAGGUAGCUGGUUCAUAUCUAACUCAAAGGACCAGGCACUGCAAUUGUGAUUGUUGGUAUAAUGGUAGUAAACAAUGUGUUCAACAUUUUUUCAAUUGUACAAUCUUGAAAAAUAUCCUUAGUCAGCUUAAAAUUUUCUCCAAAAUAAUUACUUAUAAAAAGUAGUUACCUAAAU
Diorhabda carinulata is the source of this 2106-nucleotide long non-coding RNA. RefSeq lists it as uncharacterized. The record is from RefSeq and is a predicted model, not a curated record. The transcript is spliced from 3 exons. Lineage: Eukaryota; Metazoa; Arthropoda; Insecta; Coleoptera; Chrysomelidae.